RNAcentral lists this ribosomal RNA (349 nucleotides) under uncultured bacterium. RNAcentral's name for it is "bacterial SSU rRNA". It matches the Rfam family "Bacterial small subunit ribosomal RNA", at positions 29 to 407 of the family's 1533-position model. The record is from RNAcentral.
AACGAACGCUGGCGGCAUGCCUAACACAUGCAAGUCGAACGAGACCUUCGGGUCUAGUGGCGCACGGGUGCGUAACGCGUGGGAAUCUGCCCUUUGCUUCGGAAUAACAGUUAGAAAUGACUGCUAAUACCGGAUGAUGUCUUCGGACCAAAGAUUUAUCGGCAAAGGAUGAGCCCGCGUAGGAUUAGGUAGUUGGUGGGGUAAAGGCCUACCAAGCGACGAUCCUUAGCUGGUCUGAGAGGAUGAUCAGUCACACUGGAACUGAGACACGGUCCAGACUCCUACGGGAGGCAGCAGUGGGAAUAUUGGACAAUGGGCGAAAGCCUGAUCCAGCCAUGCCGCGUGUGUG